Molecule: ribosomal RNA, 120 nt
Filed under: uncultured bacterium
Lineage: Bacteria
Description: partial 16S ribosomal RNA
Rfam family: Bacterial small subunit ribosomal RNA
Source: RNAcentral
AUUGAACGCUGGCGGCAUGCCUAACACAUGCAAGUCGAACGAGACCUUCGGGUCUAGUGGCGCACGGGUGCGUAACGCGUGGGAAUCUGCCCUUGGGUUCGGGAUAACAGUUGGAAACGA